CCCUUAGAUGUUCUGGGCUGUACGCGCGCUACACUGAUGCGUUCAACGAGUGUAUCACCUUGCCCGAUAGGGUUGGGUAAUCUUUUGAACACGCAUCGUGAUGGGGAUAGAUUAUUGCAAUUAUUAAUCUUCAACGAGGAAUUCCUAGUAAUGAUGAAUCAUCAGUUCAUCGUGAUUACGUCCCUGCCCUUUGUACACACCGCCCGUCGCUCCUACCGAGGGGGUGAUCCGGUGAAUAAUUCGGACUGCAGCAGUGUUCAGUUCCUGAACGUUGCAGCGGAAAGUUUAGUGAACCUUAUCACUUAGAGGAAGGAGAAGUCGUAACA
This 326-nucleotide ribosomal RNA is filed under the name uncultured eukaryote. RNAcentral's name for it is "partial 18S ribosomal RNA". It matches the Rfam family "Eukaryotic small subunit ribosomal RNA", at positions 1470 to 1796 of the family's 1831-position model. The record is from RNAcentral.